GGACCUGGUGAUGUGGGCAUUUACGGAGCAGGUCCCUAAAGCGCUCCUAAGUCUCGAAAAAGAGUUCCCCAUCCAUUUGUGAGAAACAUUUGAUGGCUUUCCGAAGUGC
Malania oleifera is the source of this 109-nucleotide small nucleolar RNA. Lineage: Eukaryota; Viridiplantae; Streptophyta; Magnoliopsida; Santalales; Ximeniaceae. The record is from RefSeq and is a predicted model, not a curated record.